Molecule: long non-coding RNA, 265 nt
Organism: Sander lucioperca (pikeperch)
Lineage: Eukaryota; Metazoa; Chordata; Actinopteri; Perciformes; Percidae
Exons: 3
Source: RefSeq, a predicted model, not a curated record
UGGAAAGGAUCCCUAUAGAGACAGACCCUUUUGUUAAAGAGUAAAAUCCUUUUUGUUUAACCAGAAACGGCUCUGAAAUCGCUAUCGACAAACUCACCAGUCUCUAUUUAAAUUAACAAUACUUUUAGCGUGUAUAGAGCCAGCAUAUUUCCACAUGUAAAUGGGUUAAUAUAGGCUUAAUUUUAACCAAACCAGAGUGGUGAUUGUUGGAACAGUGGAAAGAUAAAUCAAGAUGGCUUUUGAUAUAUAUAUUUACUUUCUGUCU